AUUUAUAUUCAAUGUCGAUAGUGAAUGGAUUGCACAUUCAAAUCGUUCUUGUCACACAAGCGUCACCGAAAGGUGUCAGUUGAGUAUUGAAUACCCUACCGACAACAGCUCCAAGAACAAAGUACACAUUUUCAGCCGGAUUACUUGAACCGCGUGGAAUUUAACACAAAAUGUUGAGGACAAAAGGGACAACAGCACUUCUGAUGCUGCUAAUACUCGUCUUUCUGCACUCAAAUGCCGUUAUAGAUGGGACCGGCUCGUUUCUGAGAAACAAACUCAGUGCUCCCACUAAUUCAACGUAAUGAAAAACUACACUUCAUCAGAUCUUGCGAGACCGAAAAUAAACAUCUAGCAUACCACACUGGUGGCAAUAGUCUGGGCUUGUUAUGCAGAGAUUUCAUCCAUUUUUACAAAUAAAGGUGUCACGACGAAUGGUAUGUUCAUUUUUACAAAGUUAAUAUGGUGAAUCAAGUUAUAUGGCCGCUAAGAUCAAAACAAACUUUGAAAAUGGUUAGUUGCACUAUAGGCGGAGUCCUUGUUUGAAUUUUAUAUGCAUGUAUUAUUUUUUAUAUUGGCCAUUUUUUUAAUUCUUAGAAUGGAGUGUUGAGGGGCUGUUUGUGUGACUUUUUAUGAAUUAAAUUCAGUUAAAUAAAAAAAAUGUGUCUGCAUAAGAAAAUCAAUCCUCUUCCACAUGCAUCGGUAUAUCUUCAUUUGUCAGGGUAUCAUUUGCUAAAAAAUUGAUCAAAAAAAUAAUCAAGUUUUUUUUUUUUUAUACAAUAAAUACAAUGUGCCAUUAGCUAUGAUUUAACAACAAAACAUUUGAUUAAUAGCAUUCAAAUAUUUUAAUUGCUUGACAGAACUAGUUAAAACCCUUUAUAGUUUAAGCGGCCCGUAUGCGGCCUGCACAUGCAUCGGUGUAUCUUCAUGUGUCAGGGUAUCAUUCGCUAAAAAAUGGAUCAGAAAAAUAAUCAAGUUUUUUUUUUUUUUUUACAAUAAAUACAAUGUGCCAUUAGCUAUGAUUUAACAACAAAACAUUUGAUUAAUAGCUUUCAAAUAUUUUAAUUGCUUGACAGAACUAGUUAAAACCCUUUAUAGUUUAAGCGGCCCGUAUGCGGCCUGCAUGAGGGUCCUGUGCGCAAGGUAAAAGUCAAACCACACCAUUUGAAGACCUGGACAUUGCUUGUCCCGUGCCACAUACCUUCAAAGGUUAAUUAAAAAUGUCCCAAAAUUAUUUUCUAAUUUCAUAAAUUUUCAUGAAUGGACCAAAGCUGCUUUGCUUUUAUUUUGAAGUUGUCUCAUUUCACGUACAUAAUGACGUAUCAAGACGUGCGCAUGAUUGGAUCGUUGUUACAAGCAGGUCACCACAUGACUUUAGCCCAGAAAAAUGUCUGCUCGUGCUUAAAAAAGAAUGCUAGAUGCUGAAUGCAGAGUUUUCAACAAAUAUUGGACAGCUAAGUAUUUAUUUACGGUUGUCAGAGGUAAAGCUGUAUUUAGUUUGCGGGGAGCAGAUCGCCGUGUUUAAGGACUACAAUUUGAAUCGGCAUUACGAGGCGAAACAUGAGAAACUUGAAUGAUGCUGAAACGGCACGGACAUCGGAAGCUUUGCUAGCUAAGCUGCAAAAGCAACAAGGCUUUUUUUUUUUACCAAGCUUCACACAUCCAGGGAUGCAGAAACCUAGACCAGCUCUGUAAUAUCGUUCAAAAUUACUCAAUACAGUUGGCCGUUCUCGGAGGGGGAGUUUGUCAAAAAGGGCUUGAUGGACUAUGCCCUGAAAGAAAGAAGCAUUUGAGCAAAUCUCGCUGUCCAGGCGAAUCGUGACAAGAAGGAUCGAGAACAUUGCGGGAAAUCUGCAGCUUCAGCGGCAACACAAAGUAGCAAAUUUUGACUUUUUCUUCUUGUCUGGACGAAAGCUGUGAUGCCCACGACACAGAGCAGUUACCGUAAUUUCCGGACUAUAAACCACACCGGACUAUAAGCCGCACCAGCUAAAAUCCGGGGAUAUUUUAGUUUCUUUCUUAUAUAAGCCGCACCGGACUAUAAGCCGCACGUGCACACAAGUUUUUUACAAAGAAAGACAGUACACAGAAAGCCUUUUUAAAGUUUUAAUAACAUACUUUAACUUGUCUUUCUAAACAUUGCCUGUGACGCAGCAGUAGUACCGCAGCAACACAGAAGUGUGCACGCGAGUUAUUAACAAAGAAAGACUGGACACAGAAAGCUUUUUUAAAGUUUUAAUAACAUACCUUAACAUUUCUUUCCAAACACUGCCUGUGACGCGGCAGUAAUACCGCAGCAACACGGAAGUAACACAGCACUAAUAGGGUUUGAUUAAAUAAAACAUACCGGUAAAAGUCACUGAGACGCGGCGGUAACACAGCAGCAACACGGUAGCACAGCACUAACAGGGCUGAUUAAAAAAGCAUACAAGUAAAAGUAAAAAAAAGAGCUUCAUCGUCUUCAUCUUCCUCCUGUGCAUUGAAACCAUCAAAGUCUUCCGAUUGGAAUAGCGUUAGUUAUCCUUUGCCACACACUUUCUCAGUAUAUCUUUCGUCGUCGGUUUUAUGCAUUUCUUCUAGCAUUUUCCAUGAUGAGGGUCUGUUCAUGCUAAUUUUAUUCAUGCACGAAGCGCUAAAUUACAUUAAGCUAGCGAGCGACACGCAUAGCUUCAGAGUAGUCGGGACCACGAAAUAAAGAAAAGGGUGAUGCAACACAAUGUCAUCAACAUCGACUGCCUUUAGCUUAAAAGCGGCAUCAUAUGCAUUUCUUUUGUCCCCCAUAAUGACGGUUUGUGUAUAAAAGCUUCCUUUCAGUAAUGUCCGUCUUGAUCUCGUUCUGUCUCUUCUUUGUGUGAAUUAUACGGCACUAUUUGCCUGGCGGAUGGAUAUGCGAUAAACACACCACUUUUCUCCCCAGUGACCAUGUCAUAUCCCUCCGCCCAGCAAAGCGGUGCUGCACAACAGCUGUCCACAGCCUAUUUACGAGUGUAUAAACAGAUACUUUCAAGUUUUAAUCAUUAAUUACACCAUUAUAGCUCAGAAAUUGAUCUAAACACAAAUAAUUAGUGACAACUAUCGAAACACAUCAAUGAUAUAAGCUGGGUGACAAUCGUCCUUGACAUUAGUACAUAAUGUAAACAUUAGCCUAAGUGCAACUCAACGUGGCCGCAUUGAUCGUAACUUACGCUCCGUUUCCCCCCCAAAUCUAGAGGCAAAACAUUGUUCUCUCGCUGCUCCCGGGUUCUUCCAUCUUGGCUGCGCGCGGGGCAUUGUGGGUCUUGUAGGUGCACGCACGCAGGCAGGCGCGGGCGCGCACGCAACAACUAAAUUUGUCUUCAUAACAAGCAAGCAGGGCUGUGGACAGUAUUCCUACGCGCAUUCUCAGCAGCAUGAUGAAAAUAAAAUUGAACGUAUUUAUUUUUAUUGUUGGACUCGGUGGACUCGGUCAAAAUCAGCACCGAGUCCGAGUCCGGCAAAAAUGACUGAGUCUGACCGAAUCCGAGUCCCCGAGUCCACAGCCCUGGCAUGGACACACUGGGACUGAAAUCGGACGGACUGGCAGGUUUUACAAUGGACAGUGGUCCAAAUCUUACAGGGAGAAAUGUCGGACUUUUGAACGUAUGCAAGAUAGUGACGGAGAUGAUAUACAGCAGUGUUUUUCAGCCGGGGUGCCGCGGCACACUGGUGUGCCGCAAAAUAUUGUCAGGGGUGCCGUGGGAAAUUCUCCAAUUUGUGCGCCUGUGCGGUGUAGCGCCCGGCAGAGUAAUCAUAUCUUCCAUAUCAGAAGGUGGCAGCAGCAGGUAGCGAUUUGCCUUGUGCUUGCAGACGAGAAAAUUGGUGACGCAUGGCAGCGGCAGGUAUAUGGGAUGCCCAUGCAGGUAGCAUUGACAGCGACGUUGUCAUUGUGGAUAGCGAGACGAGUCGAUAGUGACAGUGAUGGAGACGUUUUUUAAGAGAAAAAAUGCUGACACUGUAUUCAGCACACACUGGUGUGCCGUGAGAGACGUUCCGCUGUGCCGUGGGAUUGUUAAAUAUUAAUUACGGAGCGCAUUAUAAACAGGAUCGCCAAACCACUGGCCAGUUCGCGCAAGGCAUGGUCAGCCACUCGCUAAUCGUGCAUGCGUGGAGAAUCAGAGAAUCUUGAGAUUUCAUAUUGUGUCGGUCUGAUUGUAUUGCAUCGGCACAUAUUCAGUUUAGGUGUGUGUUGCUGUGUGCUUUUGCUAACAGUGACAGACACUAUGACGGUUGUGGUGCGUUUGUGGUCCAAUGGAAAUCCGAGCAUGCAGUUCAACCGGAGAACCUGGAUUGGCUAUUUUUCACAUACAUAAAAUAAACAGUCAAGUCGAGACACCUCGACUGUGAUAGCCACUCAGCUGCUGUCAGAACAGCAGAGCGUCUUUAAAAGUGACUUUGUUCUUAUUGUUGCAAUAUUUAUAGACCUAGUCUAAAACAGUAAACCAAAUCACGUUGAUUGUUUUAUUUUAAUCACAAUCACUUUAAAUAGUUUAUUUCUUACACCGUCUAAAACCUUUUUAAAAAACUGUCACUUUUAUUUAAAAAAAGGAAUACAAUUUAAAGAAUAUUUAGUAUUUAUUUUUAUUAAAUUACCGUUUAUUUCCAUGUAUAAUGCGCAAAAUUUAACUAAUUUAUUGUCCUAAAAUCUGGGGUGCGCAUUAUACAUGGGUACCAUUUUUUUUGAAGAAGAAGAAGAAAAUCAUGGUACAACAAUUUUUGAAGAAAAUCUUGUCACGGAUGGAGAGUGGAAAGGAGCAGGGCGACCAAGUGCAGCUUGAACCAGGGUUCAUUUGAGGAACUCAAAACACAGACUUGGUAAACUAUCAUAACUCUCUAGUAACAAAACCAACAACAGGACUGACUGACAAAGACGUUGAACAAAAAGACAGGGUGACAUUACCAAAGACAGGAACAGAAACCUGUGUUAUUGUCAAAUAUUGUUUGUUUUUUAAUCUCCAUCGCGGACUGGACGUCAUACGGAGGCAGUAUCACUGCUCAUGCGCACUAUGGAUCCGAUGCGAAUAGUCCUCUUCUUGACUGACAAUGAAUGUGAUAGUUUAAUACAAUCAGCAAAUAACAAAAUGCGUAUUACAGGUAAUAUUUUAUUUCACAACACUUUGCCUUGUUCCUUUCGUCUCUGCUGUUCACUUCAAACACGCUCCAUACGAACACAAUGCUCUCGUAUCAGACGCUUGCUCGAUCACCUGCUCGUUUGCUGUCACAAUGUACCCUACACAAAUCCGAAACAUUUGUUGCGGCUCCGAGUCACGACGAGGGGCAAGUUUUGGUUUCCAAGGGUGUUUUUAUUCCUCUUCAAAUUCUCUCCCAUACAGAGCCGCCUUUUUCACCUGUCCGCACGCCUUUUCACAUGUCGGCACUUUAACCUAACUGAUCGCGGUGGUGCCUUUACGGGCAGUCGGAGAAAUCAACCCCAACAAAAAAAAUACAUCCAGCCUAGUUAAGACCAUACCAAAGACUAUAAACAUGGGACCCAUUGCCUCCCUGCUUGGCACUCAGCAUUAAGGGUUGGAAUUGGGGGGUUAGAUCACCAAAUGAUUCCCGAGUCACUGCUCCCAUCCCCCUCUCCCCUCUCCCCCAGGGGAUGGAUCAAAAUCACACAGGGAUGGGUCAAAUGCAGAGGACAAAUUUCACCACACCCAGAUGCGUGUGUGACGAUCAUUGGGACUUAAAAAAAAUAAAACAUUAAUAAAAAUAAAAUAAUUUGGGUGCGUAUUAUACAUGGGUACAGGCUUUUUUCCAGCAUUGACAUGCCAUUUUUAGGGUGCGUAUUACACAUGGGGGCGCAUUAUACAUGGAAAAAAACGGUAUUUGACUUUCCAUACAUAUAUAUAGGAAUAGGACUUUACGUCUUUCGUUGCAAUAUAACUGAUUUUAAUAUAGAAGCAUAACUGUCAGGGAACAGAGACAGGGCUACCAAGUGCAGCAUGAUCCUUUAUUGGCAAAGGGGAAAAGGGGAAGUGGAACACUGGACCUGUGGUCUGGCUGGCGUGGCAGAGCAGCCGAGCACAGCGCGUAGUCGUAGUCGGAGGCAGGCAGUCGAAGGACGAGCAGGUCGUCAGGACAGGCGGCGAUCAGAAGCGUGGUCGAAGGGCGAGCAGGUAGUCAGGACAGGCGGCGAUCAGAAGCGUGGUCGAAGGGCGAGCAGGUAGUCAGGACAGGCGGCGGUCAGAAGCGUGGUCGAAGGUCACGGAAGCAGGUGGCUACAAAGAUCGGUCCGGCGAAAAAGGCAGUAGUGUCACGGGCAGGGUAAGCAGACGAACUGACAACCACUGGCAGAACACAGAGAGGUUAAGUAGGGGACCUAACGAGCUGUAGCUCGUGUGUGCCGCGAGAUUUUUUCCAAUAAAAAGGUGUGCCGUGAAUGAAAAAAGGUUGGGAAACACUGAUAUACAGGACUGUCUUAGAAAAUUAGAAUAUUAUGAUAAAGUUCUUUAUUUUCUGUAAUGGAAUUAAAAAAAAAAAAAAGUCAUACAUUCUGGAUUCAUUACAAAUCAACUGAACUACUGCAAGCCUUUUAUUAUUUUAAUAAAACUGAUUAUGGCAUACAGCUUAAGAAAAUUCAAAUAUCCUCUCUCAAAAUAUUAGAAUAUAAUGAAAAAGUAAACUAGUAGGGUAUUCAAUUAAUCACUUGAAUCGUCUAAUUAACUCAAAACACCUGCAAGGGUUUCCUGAGCCUUGAAAAACACACAGCUUGGUUCACUAAACUAAAUCACAAGUAUUUGCAACGACCCGGACUGUCUCAGUAAUUAUAGGCCAGUUUCAAACCUCCCAUUCAUAGCAAAACGUCUUGAAAAAGUAGUAGCUCAGCAGCUUAUUGAUUACAUGGUUGCCAAUAAUCGAUAUGACUCUUUUCAGUCUGGUUUUAGAGCUAAUCAUUCCACUGAGACAGCACUUGCUAAAGUGACUAAUGAUCUCCUUGUAGUUAUCUGUUUUGUUACUACUCGAUCUUAGUGCUGCUUUCGACACUGUAGACUUCGAUAUUUUAUUAGGGCGUCUUAAAAGUUGUGUUGGUAUUUCAGGGUCAGCACGAGGCUGGUUCCAUUCCUAUCUAUCAGACAGGACGCACCGAGUGGUCCAUGGCAAUACGUCCUCUGAGCUCUAUAAUGUUACGUGUGGUGUCCCACAGGGAUCGGUACUCGGACCAAUUCUAUUUAAUAUUUACCGUUUUUUUCCAUGUAUAAUGCGCCCCCAUGUAUAAUACGCACCCUAAAAAUGGCAUGUCGAUGCUGGAAAAAAGCCUG
Syngnathus typhle (broad-nosed pipefish) is the source of this 7274-nucleotide long non-coding RNA. RefSeq lists it as uncharacterized. The record is from RefSeq and is a predicted model, not a curated record. NCBI's taxonomy places the organism in Eukaryota, Metazoa, Chordata, Actinopteri, Syngnathiformes, Syngnathidae. The transcript is spliced from 3 exons.